Molecule: long non-coding RNA, 5244 nt
Filed under: Sus scrofa (pig)
Lineage: Eukaryota; Metazoa; Chordata; Mammalia; Artiodactyla; Suidae
Description: lncRNA (ENSSSCG00015004061.1)
Source: RNAcentral
AUCUCAUGUUUUUUCCUUUUUUGCACCAGCCAUGAAAUGAAUCAUUUUUUCCGCCUCAGAUUCAUUUUCUUGGAGAACAGCAUCUAGGAACUAAGAUCUAAGUGUCAAGUAUGCUUAGUACUGUUGAGGCGUUACGGUUUCUAGGUCCUCUCAUUAGAUAGAGCUAGUAAAUAUGUGUACAGUAAUAUACAUUUUGUAGCAUGAAUACAAAUGUAUUUUUAUUUCCUUGUUCAUCUGUAUGUAAAUUAAAAACCAUGGUUUUAUUGAUGCUGCUAGUUUGAAUCCCAUAUCUAUUCUAGAGUUCAUGCCAGUCUUUUUUUUUUUCUUUUCUUUUUUUUUUUUUAAGCUUUUUCCCUUUCCUUUUACUUUCUUUUCCAAAGGUAAGAAACUUGGGUUCUUUUUCACAAUAUAUAUUAACUUAUUUGCUGUAUCCUUGUACACACACAAAAGUAGUUUCAGAAUUGCCAACUUUCUCCCAUAUGUAACACACAUUUAAAAAAAAUUUUUUUUUUCUAGUGAGGUGAGGUCGUUAACCUAUAUAGUUUUUUAUCUUUUUCCUCUUUAUUGCUUUUGUUGUAUCAGAUUAUCUCUUUUUAUGCUGUUUGUUAACCACAUUGAAGUGGCUAUAGUUAUUCUUUCUUUCCCACUCUCCCCCCUUUAACUUUUAUGCUAUUAAUAAGGUGUUUUAAGAACCUGAUAAAGAGUUGCAGUUUUGUGAUUCUGUUUAUCACCUUACUCAAAGCUUUGUGUACAUCUGCCUUUUUGUUUCUGGUAGAAGGCAAGUUGUCUGGGAAAGUCAAUUUCCCCUUCAUAUCCAAAUGAUAACUUUGCUUGCUAGAGUAUUCUUGGCUGACAGUUUUAUCUUUCGAUAUUUUGAGAAUGUCAUUACACUCUCUCCUGGCCUGUAGAGUUUCUGCUGAGAAGCUGCUGGAAGUCUAAGGUGGGGGAGGGGGUCCUUCGUAGGUUACCAUCCUUUUCUCCCUGGCUGUCUUUAAAACUCUUUCUUUGUCCUUGAUUUUUGACAAAUUUAAUGUAGUGUGAUAGUGUGUAUUGGAGAAGGUUUUUUGUUUGUUUUGCCUUGAGGUAAUUAGGUAUUCCUUUAGCUUCAUGGACUUGUGUAUAAGGUUCCUUCUCCAGGCUUGGGAAAUUUUCAACUAUUUAUUCUUUAGGUAAACUCUGUUCCCUUCUCUGUCUAUUCUCCUGGGAAACUCAUUACACUAACGUUGUCUUUCCUAAAGGAAAUUGUAAAAUUUCAUCAUUUAAAAAAUAUUUCUCUUUUCUCUUCUACCUUUAGACUUCUGGUUUUCUUUUUUGCUUUUCAGGGUCACACGCUUGGCAUAUGGAAGUUCCCAGGCUAGGGUUUGAAUCCGAGCUAUAGCUGCUGGCCUACACCACAGCAGAAUCUGAGCCGUGUCUGUGACAUACACCACAGCUCACAGCAGUGACGGAUCCCCAACCCACUGAAUGAAGCCAGGGUUCAAAUCUGCAUCCUCAUGGAUGCUAGUCAGAUUUGCUUCUGCUGUACCAUAAUGGGAACUCCCUAGAUUAUUAGUUUUCUAUCUUCAAGCUCACUAGUUCUCUCUUCCAUAUGGUCUACUCUAUUUCUCUUGCUUUCUAAUGCAUUCUUCAACUCGUUUAUUGAAUUCUUCAUGUCUGAAAUUUGUUUGGUCCCUUUUUAGAGUUUCAGUCUCUUUGAUAAAGUAUUCCUUCUGUUCAUUAAUUUUAUUCCUGAGCUCAUUGAACUACUUCGAGUUUCCUUGUAGCUCAUUGAGUUUCUUCAUGACAGCUGUUUGGAAUUCUCUACCAAACAAUGUUCUGUGACUUUUAAGUUUGAUUUCUGGAGAAUAGUCAUUUUCUUUUUGUGGUAUAGUGUUACUGUGAUUCUUUUGUUGCUUGAUGAGUUGUUCCUGUAGCCAGUGCAUUUGAAGUAGCGGCUUUUUUGCUUGAUACUGAGCUGCCUCUUCUUAUAUUUGCAAGUUGGUACUUUCCACUGUCCAUCACCUCUCUUAGAGGUAUAGCUCCAGUUUUCUCAUUAUUGUAUCUUGUGCCUCCAGAGUUGUUGGUACCUUGCUUCUGCCAGUGUCACUGGUGUCAUAAUGUUGGUACAUGGUGUGCUUAGAUGGUGGGCUCUUCCUUUGUAUCAGAGAUCCCCUGAGUCUAAAGCUCCAUUGCUAUGGAAGGGGAAAGGAAGGGUAAGGGGGAGGAAGUCAGUGUUGCACAGCCACUUUGGUCUUGUAAGGUUUAAGGGCUGUGCUCCUGCAGGUGGGAUGUGGGGAGUGCAGUCGUGGGUACCUUGGUGGCUGGAGGGCUGGGUUCUCAGGCCCUGCUGUUGCCCAGUUAACCUGUGGUCUAGAGGAAGGAGACCUGCAUACCAGGAGUAGGCUUCUCUGGGGCUGAGAGCUCAGCUGCUGAGAUGGGAGGGUAGGGACUGCAGAUAACACCUCUGCGUGUUUCAGUCUGCUCACCUUUAGAUGUACUGAUGUAUGGCAUUCUCCUGCAGCCUGGUGUGUUGGGCAGAGGCCAUUUUGUGUUGUGGAUGUUUUGCUGGUUGUAGAUUGAAAGGGAGAGACAAAAAUAACUCUUCACUCUGCUGUGUUGCUGACGUCCGAGAAACACGUUUUUAUUUUAUUUUAAAAAUUUUUUAAAUUUUUUGUCUUUUUAGGGCCACCCCCAAGGCACAUGGAGGUUCCCAACUAGGGGUCUAAUUGGAGCUGUAGCUGCCAGCCUACACCACAACCACAGCAAUGCCAGAUCUGAUCCGCAUCUGUGACCUACACCACAGCUCACAGCAACGCCAGAUCCUUAACCCACUGAGCAAGGCCAGGGAUCGAACCCGCAACUUCAUGGUUCCUAGUCGGAUUCGUUAACCACUGUGCCACGAUGGGAACUCCUCAUUUCAUUCUUUUUUUAUUAAAUAAUAUUCUGCUUUAUGCUUUGUUUACCCAUUUAUCAGUGAGACAUUUCAUUUGUUUCUACCUUUUUGACUAAUAAUCAAAAUAGUACUGUGAACAUUCUUUUUUUUUAUUAUUAUUAUUAAGGGUCGCAGCUGUGAUAUAUGGAAGAUCCCAGGCUAGGGGUUGAAUCUGAGCUACAGCUGCGACCCUUAAUAAUAAUAAUAAGGUUGCACCACAGCCACAGCAACUCAGUAUUGGGGCUGCAUCAGCAGUGUACACCAUAGCUUAUGGCAAUGCCAGAUCCUUGACGCCACAGGUUGAACCCGCAUCCUCAGUAGAAACUAGUAGGAUGCAUUUGUGCUGCACCACAAUGGAAACUCCUAUGUGAACAUUCUUGUACAGGUUUUUGUGUGAACAUAUGUGUAUAUAUAUUCACUUUCGAAUGUGUACUUGGGAGUGGAAGUGCUGGGUUAUAUGGUAAAUCUGUUUAGUUUAUUGAGGAACUUCUGUGCAGGUUGUAUUAUUUUUCAUUCCUACCAGCAGCAUUUGAAGGUUCUGAUUAAUUUCUCCCCAUGCUCUCCAAUACUUGUUAUUUUCUUUCUUUUUUAAAAAAUUGCCAUCCCAUGGGUUAUGAAAUGGUAUUAUGUUGUGGUUUUGAUUUGUGUUUCCCUAAUGACUAAUGCUGUCAAGCAUCUUUUCAUGAGAGUUCCCUCGUGGCUCAGUGUGUUAAGAAUCCAUUGUUGUCAUUGCUGUGGCUCAGGUCACUGCUGUGAUGUGGGUUUGAUUCCUAUUUCAGGAAUUUCUGCAUGCCUUGGGCAAAAAAAAAAAAAAAGAAAUCAUCCUUUCAUGUGCAUAUCUAUGGAGAAAUGUUUAUUCAGAUCCUUUGCCCUUUCAUGAUUUUAUUAUUUGGCUUUUUAUUGCUGAGUUUCAAGACUCUUUCCUUAUUCUGGAUCCUGGGUAACAAUACCUGUACUUAUACAAGUAUACAAAGAAGUUUGUGCAAAGGUAUUUCCUGCAGCACUUAUAAGACCCUUAUUAGACAUAAGAUUUGCCAGUAGUUCUCUCAUUUUAGGUUGUCUUUUCACUUUUGAUGGUGUCUUUGAUAUCUUUUGCAGUGCAAAUAUUAAAAAUUUUGAUGAAGUAUGAUUUGUCUGUUUUUUUUUUUCUUUCAUUACUUGUGCUUUAGUUUUUGUAUCUAAGAAACCACUGCCUGCUUCUGGGUAACAGAUGUGUUUUCUUGUGAGAAUUUUAGUUUAGCUUUCACACUUGAUCCGUUUUGAGUUAAUGUUUGUGUAUGGUGUUAGUUGAGGGUCCAACUUCAUGGAAUAUGCAGUUAUUGAAGACUUGUUUUUUUCUCCAUUGAAUUGCCUUGGCAUCCUUUGUUUGUUUUUUGUUUUUUUUUUGGCUGACCUGUUGCAUAUGGAGUUCCUGGGCCAGGAAUCAGAUCCUAGUUGCAGUUGUGACUUAGGCCUCAGCUAUAGCAAUGCUAGACCCUUAACCCACUGUGCUGGGCUGGGGAUUGAACCUGUGUCCCAAUGCUCAAAACAUACUGCUGGUCCUGUUGUGCCACAGUGAGAAUUCUGGCACCCUUGUUAAAAAUCAGUUGACCAUGGAUGUAUGGAUUUGUUUUAGACUCUCAGUCCUUUUGCAUUGAUCUAUAUGCCUGUCUUGAUGCCCAUACCACAGUGUUAGUGUUACUGUAGUAAGUUUUGAAAGUACGGUUUAUGAGCCUGACAACUUUGUUCUUCUUUUUCAAGACUCUUUUGUCUAUUUUGAGUCAAAUGAAUUUUAGAAUAAGGUUGGUUGUUUCUGUAAAAAAGGCAGUUGGAGUUCUCACAGGCAUUGCACUGAAUUGUCGUUUAAUUUGAGGAUGUAAUGUUCUUACAUAGGUACAAACAUAAGAUCUUUUUGAAUGUUUGGGUAUCAUUUUAUUCUAUAUAACUGUACAAAAUGGCUUUAAAAAUUUCAGUUACUACUAUUUUAUUCCUUCUUUGCUCUCUUUUCCAGAGAUUAACUUAGUGGGAGGACAAGCUGUAUUAUUCAAUAAAAGAUAUAGGGACAGUUAGCUAACUUUAGUUAAAAAAAAAUGUUGGGGACUUCCUGUUGUGGCUCAGAGGUUAACGAACCUGACUAGUAUCUAUGAGGUCUCGGGUUCGAUCUCUGGCCUUGCCCAGUGGGUUAAGGAUCCAGGAUUGCCGUGAGCUGUGGUGUAGAUUGCAGAUGCAGCUUGGAUCUGGCGUUGUUGUGGCUAAGGCAUAGGCCAGCAGCUUCAGCUCUGAUUCAAUCUCUAGCCUGGGAACCUCCAUGUGCCACGGAUAUGGCCCUAAAAAGACCAAAAAAAAAAAAAAAA